This 497-nucleotide ribosomal RNA is filed under the name uncultured bacterium. RNAcentral's name for it is "partial 16S ribosomal RNA". It matches the Rfam family "Bacterial small subunit ribosomal RNA", at positions 28 to 507 of the family's 1533-position model. The record is from RNAcentral.
GAUGAACGCUGGCGGCGUGCCUAAUACAUGCAAGUCGAGCGAACGGACGAGAAGCUUGCUUCUCUGAUGUUAGCGGCGGACGGGUGAGUAACACGUGGAUAACCUACCUAUAAGACUGGGAUAACUUCGGGAAACCGGAGCUAAUACCGGAUAAUAUUUUGAACCGCAUGGUUCAAAAGUGAAAGACGGUCUUGCUGUCACUUAUAGAUGGAUCCGCGCUGCAUUAGCUAGUUGGUAAGGUAACGGCUUACCAAGGCAACGAUGCAUAGCCGACCUGAGAGGGGGAUCGGCCAACCCGGAACUGGAACCCCGUCCAGACUCCUACGGGGGGCAGGAAUAGGGAAAUUUCCGCAAUGGGCGAAAGCCUGACGGAGCAACGCCGCGUGAGUGAUGAAGGUCUUCGGAUCGUAAAACUCUGUUAUUAGGGAAGAACAUAUGUGUAAGUAACUGUGCACAUCUUGACGGUACCUAAUCAGAAAGCCACGGCUAACUACGUG